Molecule: non-coding RNA, 239 nt
Filed under: Clostridium perfringens
Lineage: Bacteria; Bacillati; Bacillota; Clostridia; Eubacteriales; Clostridiaceae
Description: T-box sequence
Rfam family: T-box leader
About the family: Uncharged tRNA acts as the effector for transcription antitermination of genes in the T-box leader family.
Source: RNAcentral
AUAAAUGCAUUGAAAAAGUAAAGUAGCAUUUUGGAAAAUCACAGAGAGGAAAAUGAUGGUGAGAGUUUUCUAUUUAGAAGAAAUGUGAAGUGCACUUUGGAGCAGAAAUCCGAAAUUUUUAGUAGGGUUCUCCGGGAUCACCCGUUAUAGUGAUUAGGCAUGUUAGUGCUAAAUUUUGAGUGCAGGUAUAUCUUUUAUAUCUGAAUUAGAGUGGAACCGCGAGUUACCUCGUCUCUAUA